CCUACGGGAGGCAGCAGUGAGGAAUAUUGGUCAAUGGGCGGAAGCCUGAACCAGCCAAGUCGCGUGAGGGAAGAAGGUACUGAGUAUUGUAAACCUCUUUUGCCAGGGGACAAAGGCGGCCACGGGUGGCCGUAAGCGGGUACCUGGAGAAAAAGCAUCGGCUAACUCGGUGCCAGGAGCCGCGGUGAUACGGGGGAAGCGAGCGUUAUCGGGAUUUAGUGGGUUUAAAGGGUGAGACGGCGGCGUGUCAAGUCAGCGGUAAAAUGUCGGGGCUCAACCCCGGCCGGCCGUUGAAACUGGCGGGCUCGAGUUGGAGAGAAGUAUGCGGAAUUCGUGGUGUAGCGGUGAAAUGCAUAGAGAUCACGAAGAACCCCGAUUGCGAAGGCAGCAUACCGGCUCCACACUGACGCUGAGGCACGAAAGCGUGGGUAUCGAACAGGAUUAGAUACCCCAGUAGUC
This 459-nucleotide ribosomal RNA is filed under the name uncultured bacterium. Its description in RNAcentral is "partial 16S ribosomal RNA". It matches the Rfam family "Bacterial small subunit ribosomal RNA", at positions 338 to 795 of the family's 1533-position model. The record is from RNAcentral.